RNAcentral lists this transfer RNA (78 nucleotides) under Tenacibaculum mesophilum. RNAcentral describes it as "tRNA-Val". It matches the Rfam family "tRNA". Rfam says of the family: Transfer RNA (tRNA) molecules are approximately 80 nucleotides in length. Their secondary structure includes four short double-helical elements and three loops (D, anti-codon, and T loops). Further hydrogen bonds mediate the characteristic L-shaped molecular structure. tRNAs have two regions of fundamental functional importance: the anti-codon, which is responsible for specific mRNA codon recognition, and the 3' end, to which the tRNAs corresponding amino acid is attached (by aminoacyl-tRNA synthetases). tRNAs cope with the degeneracy of the genetic code in two manners: having more than one tRNA (with a specific anti-codon) for a particular amino acid; and 'wobble' base-pairing, i.e. permitting non-standard base-pairing at the 3rd anti-codon position. RNAcentral also lists the same sequence under 69 other names. Lineage: Bacteria; Pseudomonadati; Bacteroidota; Flavobacteriia; Flavobacteriales; Flavobacteriaceae. The record is from RNAcentral.
GGGCGCGUAGCUCAGUUGGUUCAGAGCACUUGGUUUACACCCAAGGGGUCAGGGGUUCGAAUCCCUUCGCGCCCACAA